CGCAAUCAAUUGUCCCAUAAAUCGAGACUUGUAUGAAUGGCUAAACGAGGUCUUAACUGUCUCUUACAGAUAAUCAGUGAAAUUGAUCCCCCUGUGCAAAAGCAGGAAUAAACACAUAAGACGAGAAGACCCUGUGGAACUUAAAAAUCAGUAGCCACCACACACUAAAUCCCACCCUACCCAGGCCCACCACUAAAAACACUGGCUCACAUUUUUCGGUUGGGGCGACCUUGGAGAAAAGCAAAACCUCCAAAAAUAAGAGCAACUUCUCUUGACCAAGAACAACCCCUCAACGUACAAACAGUAACCUGACCCAAUACAAUUGACCAAUGGACCAAGCUACCCCAGGGAUAACAGCGCAAUCUCCUUCAAGAGCCCAUAUCGCCAAGGAGGUUUACGACCUCGAUGUUGGAUCAGGACACCCUAAUGGUGCAGCCGCUAUUAAGGGUUCGUUUGUUCAACGAU
RNAcentral lists this ribosomal RNA (465 nucleotides) under Halcyon senegalensis. RNAcentral describes it as "partial large subunit ribosomal RNA". It matches the Rfam family "Bacterial large subunit ribosomal RNA", at positions 1960 to 2588 of the family's 2925-position model. The record is from RNAcentral. Lineage: Eukaryota; Metazoa; Chordata; Aves; Coraciiformes; Alcedinidae.